UACGUAGGGUGCGAGCGUUAAUCGGAAUUACUGGGCGUAAAGUGUGCGCAGGUGGCUUCGCAAGUCGAGUGUGAAAUCCCCGGGCUUAACCUGGGAAUUGCGAUGGAGACUGCAAGGCUAGAAUCUGGCAGAGGGGGGUAGAAUUCCACGUGUAGCAGUGAAAUGCGUAGAUAUGUGGAGGAACACCGAUGGCGAAGGCAGCCCCCUGGGUCAAGAUUGACGCUCAUGCACGAAAGCGUGGGGAGCAAACAGG
Molecule: ribosomal RNA, 253 nt
Filed under: uncultured prokaryote
Description: partial 16S ribosomal RNA
Rfam family: Bacterial small subunit ribosomal RNA
Source: RNAcentral